Molecule: unclassified non-coding RNA, 213 nt
Filed under: uncultured fungus
Lineage: Eukaryota; Fungi
Description: sequence contains ITS2
Source: RNAcentral
AACGCACAUUGCGCCUCUUGUAAGAGAGGCAUGCCUGUCUGAGUCUCAUUUAACCUAUAAACCUGGAAUGGGUUUGUGCUGGGCGUUCGCCUCUGGGCGUCGUCUCAAAGUCAUCUGUCUAACGAGCGGACGAGAUCCUUUUGGACUGACCGUUUGUGGACCCUAAACCUCUGACUUGAGCUCAGAUCAGGCAGGACUACCGCCUGAACUUAA